RNAcentral lists this ribosomal RNA (414 nucleotides) under uncultured bacterium. RNAcentral's name for it is "bacterial SSU rRNA". It matches the Rfam family "Bacterial small subunit ribosomal RNA", at positions 32 to 419 of the family's 1533-position model. The record is from RNAcentral.
AAUCAACGCUGGCGGCGUGCCUCAGACAUGCAAGUCGAACGCGAAAUUUCCCUUCGGGGAGAAAGUAGAGUGGCGCACGGGUGAGUAACACGUAGGUAAUCUACCUCUGGGUGGGGAAUAACAGCCGGAACGGCUGCUAAUACCGCAUAAUGCAGCGGCACCGCAAGGUGACAGUUGUUAAAGCGGGGGAGUCCUGAAAGGGAACCGUCGCGCCUGAAGAGGAGCCUGCGGCAGAUUAGCUAGUUGGUGAGGUAAUGGCUCACCAAGGCAACGAUCUGUAGCCGGCCUGAGAGGGCGGUCGGCCACACUGACACUGACAUACGGGUCAGACUCCUACGGGAGGCAGCAGUCGGGAAUUUUGGGCAAUGGGCGAAAGCCUGACCCAGCAACGCCGCGUGAAGGAUGAAAUCCCUC